UCUGGCGGCAGUAGCGCGGUGGUCCCACCUGACCCCAUGCCGAACUCAGAAGUGAAACGCCGUAGCGC
RNAcentral lists this ribosomal RNA (68 nucleotides) under Escherichia coli. Lineage: Bacteria; Pseudomonadati; Pseudomonadota; Gammaproteobacteria; Enterobacterales; Enterobacteriaceae. The record is from RNAcentral. RNAcentral also lists the same sequence under 1 other name.